ACAAGUACCGUGAGGGAAAGUUGCAAAGCACUUUGAAGAGAGAGUUAAAGAGGACGUGAAACCGAUAAGAUGGAAACGGAUAGAGUUAGCGUAUCUGGCUUGCAUUCAGCCAUUCGGUUGUUGAUUACCUGGUUUUUGGCACCAGACUGGGCCGAUUCUGGGCAUUUUGGCUGCCGAAGGGUGCAUUUGUGAGUCGAGUGCGUCGAGGCGUUCGGUCAAGUGGCAUGAGCCUGGUUUUGAGGCCAUUCCGCAAGGAUAUGGUACCCAAACUGGGGGAAUGCUAUUUUCGCUGGGCGACCAAAGAGCAUGGCACACGGGUUUGGAUUUGUUUCAUGUUGAUCGCCGGUUACGGUCGCGUGCGACACGUGCUGGUUGUUGGUUUGAACGGGUUCCGACUCUCGUGCUUGUCCUCGAUGUAAAAGCUGGUCAUCUAUCCGACCCGUCUUGAAACACGGACCAAGGAGUUUAGCGUGUUCGCGAGUCAUUGGGUAUUGAAAACCCAAGGGCGAAAUGAAAGUGAAGGUACUCGCAAGAGGCUGACGUGUGAUCCUGCGCACCUCGGUGCGCAGGCGCAACAUGGCCCCGUCCCGACUGCAUGCAGUGGGGCGGAGGCAGAGCGUAUGCGCUGAGACCCGAAAGAUGGUGAACUAUUCCUGAGCAGGAUGAAGCCAGAGGAAACUCUGGUGGAAGUCCGAAGCGAUUCUGACGUGCAAAUCGAUCGUCUGACUUGGGUAUAGGGGCGAAAGACUAAUCGAACCAUCUAGUAGCUGGUUCCUUCGCAAAGGGC
Molecule: ribosomal RNA, 787 nt
Filed under: Belonolaimus longicaudatus
Lineage: Eukaryota; Metazoa; Nematoda; Chromadorea; Rhabditida; Belonolaimidae
Description: eukaryotic LSU rRNA
Rfam family: Eukaryotic large subunit ribosomal RNA
Source: RNAcentral